This 572-nucleotide long non-coding RNA is filed under the name Helianthus annuus (common sunflower). RNAcentral's name for it is "sRNA HanXRQr2_Chr10g0455321". The record is from RNAcentral. Lineage: Eukaryota; Viridiplantae; Streptophyta; Magnoliopsida; Asterales; Asteraceae.
GUUAAUCGAAAUUAAUGGAAUCGGUGUACCUUACUUAAAUCAGUGAACCUUGAAUCGAUCAUUCAUUUGCAAUUGAUCCAGUAAACAACUUUAUACAGUAAGUGAUCCAGUAAACAACUUUAUACAGUAAGUGAUCCAGUAAACAACUUUAUAUCUACAAACAAACAACAAUUUGUUUGUAGAUACAACAGUAAGUGAUCCAGUAAACGACCGUACAAUACUUUCUCAGAUCCAGCAAGAUCAGAGCCGUCGACAGAUUCUUCAACCAUUCUUCUCCGAAAAAGUUCUUCAGCGGCGGUGUAAAGAUGUAGGUCUAGGGCUUCUUCUGUUUGACCCAUUUUUGCAUCCAUCAAGGGUAGAUUAAGGAGAACCAGCCAUGACUUUUGUCCCUAACCAACAAACCCUAGAAACACUUUAUAGACAUGAAUCAAAAAACAAACUCUCAGUAAAUUCAAACUUCUAAUCUCGUUUCGACCUAAAGCCUACUGAAAACAUAAGGGGGGAUGAUUACCUGUCACUGGAAACCGGAUCUGUGACGGUGGAAGUAGAUCGGAUUACAAUGGACGGUUGAG